RNAcentral lists this ribosomal RNA (253 nucleotides) under uncultured Eubacteriales bacterium. Its description in RNAcentral is "uncultured Clostridiales bacterium partial 16S ribosomal RNA". It matches the Rfam family "Bacterial small subunit ribosomal RNA", at positions 524 to 776 of the family's 1533-position model. Lineage: Bacteria; Bacillati; Bacillota; Clostridia; Eubacteriales. The record is from RNAcentral.
UACGUAGGGAGCGAGCGUUGUCCGGAUUUACUGGGUGUAAAGGGAGCGUAGACGGUACGCCAAGUCUGAAGUGAAAUGCCGCAGCUUAACUGCGGAACUGCUUUGGAAACUGGCGGGCUGGAGUGCGGGAGGGGUAAGCGGAAUUCCUAGUGUAGCGGUGAAAUGCGUAGAUAUUAGGAGGAACACCAGUGGCGAAGGCGGCCUGCUGGACGAUGACUGACGUUGAGGCUCGAAAGCGUGGGGAGCAAACAGG